This is a long non-coding RNA of Melanotaenia boesemani (Boeseman's rainbowfish), 3409 nucleotides long. RefSeq lists it as uncharacterized. The record is from RefSeq and is a predicted model, not a curated record. The transcript has 9 exons. NCBI's taxonomy places the organism in Eukaryota, Metazoa, Chordata, Actinopteri, Atheriniformes, Melanotaeniidae.
CUGAAGAACGCAGUGGUUUCACAUUUUACAGGCAGAGGUUGCUGCUUGGUCCAGACCAGAGUGCUGUAAUGAGAGUGGCGACACUCCCGUAGACUUCUAUAGAAAGAAUGGAAUGCGGAAGUCACGUGGUCCAUGGAGCUGCAGAAAGUUCAAAAUGGCCGUUGCUCCAGCACUGUACGCAGUUCAUUUUCGGUCUUUUGGAGGCUUUUUUGCCGGGGACUGAUCUUCAGAGGUGAUCUGAGUGAAGACCAGGCUCGUGGAACUUGACGGUCCUGUCAGUGAUGGAGUGAUGAGGAUGCUGAGUAUCUGUGGCAUUUGGAAGCUCCAUGAAGGAUGCACUGGACCUGGUUCGGAAAAGCUUCUCAAUUUUCUGGACCAGACUGAAGGCUUCGUGUGAUGGACGACAGAGCACACCCGGUUUGAAUUCCUUCAAUGUCAGUAAUGCAUCAUGCUCUCCUUCCAGACUUUCAUCAUUUUGCACAAUCGCACUUUGGCAAACAUCACAGAUGUCGCAAAGUUUGAUGACUUUAUUUACAAUGUAUCCUGCAAGAUAGUAGAGAGUACAGGUUUCACUCUUUGAGAGAUCUGGAGUAUCUUUGUGGCCAGUCAGCUGGUCCACUCUCAGGCCAGGUCUGGGAGUUGUCUCCUUGUUGUCCAGGAACUCUGCCAAAAGACUGUUGUCAUCCUCCUGAUAGUUUCCUGAUUUGACUGUCACAAGAAACUGCCCAACUGAUAUUGAUCUGAGAGCCUGGUGGAACUCCACUGGUGUUGGGACAGGAUUCCUCUGCCUAAUGCAGCUGAACAAGUUUUCAAGACAGUCUUGGGUUUCCAGCUACCUGUUGGACCAAUCUUUAGACCACGGAAGAGUUGGAUCAUGUUGUGGAGAAACUCGAUGGCUUUGUGGUACUGUUCCAUCUUGUGCCUGCUCAGCGCCAUUACUGGGUGUCGGGAAGACAUGAUAUCGAACCAGUGGUUGACCUGCUCCAGAAACCAUGCUGUUGUCAGGUUAGAGGUAGGUCGCUGCUCCUUCUCCACCAUGUAUUUCAGACCUGCACUCGCUGACAUGCUGAAAACAUUCAUUGCAGGCCCCACCUUCAUUUUCUCAAAAUGACUGGGUUGAAGGGUUUUCUGACACAGAUUUGGAGCAAUUUUUAAUGGUGUUCCUUCUUGAAAAUCCACCAGAUCUUUCAAGGGUCUAAUGGAAACUUCGUUGUGAGGGAGACUCUCUUUUUCAACUAUCUCAGGUGGAAUUUUAAAUGUCUGUCCACGCACUAGUGCACUCUUCAAAUUUUUUACCAGAUGUGGGACAUCUGGCAUAAAGUACAGCCUCCUGUCUGGUCUCGCUGGGUGUGGGAUGGAUGUUUGGUUGUGGUCCACUCCAAAUGACCUCCACAUAGCCCGAUUAGGACUGCCCAUGUCAGUGGUGACAUUUACCACAUGAAGCCCUAUGGAAGCUGCUCUCUCGAUGAUUUCGGUGAUGACAGGCUUGUAGCUUGCCCCAUUGGUGGAAUUCCCACUGAAAUGGUAAGCGACUACUUGCUUCCAUCUCAGUGUGCUUCCUGCCAACAUGAAAACACAUGCAUGUGUUGCUGCUCCUGUAUGCCCAGGCAGUGUCACAUCCCCGAAAAGCUUCCCGGUUCCAAGGUGCAGCUCCACACCUGGUGUGAUGGCCAUCUCAUCUACAGUCAGCACACAUUCCUUCUCCAAAGCUCCAAGACUGUUUACCUUCAGCUCAAGCAUCUCAAAAACCUCUUCUAGCACACCUGGUUGCAGUUUGAUGUGUUCCAGUCUUCUUUGCAAGGUUCGGAUAUCAGGUUUUGGAUGCUGAUUUCCUCCUCAAAUGAUUUUUCACUGGUUCCUGUCACUGUUGACCCCUGCACACUGGAUCCUGGCUCAUUUGUAUCUGGACCCUUCCUUCUCCUUGGCGCUCGGCGGUGGACAAAAAGAGUUGGAACAGCAUCAGGCUUCAGUCUCACUUUGCCCGUCUUUGUCCUGUUAAACUGAUCUCCCUCAAAAUGUGCCUGCAGAGUAUCUCAUUAGUUUAAUUUCCAUACAUGUUGCAUUUUUAUUGAAGCAUAUGACAGAACAACAUGUUAAACCCUGAUUUAGAAUCUUUGUGUGUGCAGUAUAAACUUACCGCACACAGUUUUCUGUUAUUAUGAUCUCUGGAGAUGGAGAGAUUGCUCCUACUGACUUGGACUAGCCAUUUUUUUCUUCUCUCUGUGUCUUUAGGGAAGCCAUACAUUCUGGUCCCUUUUUCAGAGUGGCUGGUGCACCCAAAUGCAGCACAGCCUACCAUGAGUCCACUGAUGUUUCGAAGAGAUGGUCACUACCAAAUGAAGCAACUGCCAAGUUGAGAAGGAUGAACCCUCAUUGAAUGAACCUUUAAACAAUUAAUUGUUGCAGAUUCAACUAUUAAACAUUACAAGUAUUAGUAAAAGUACUUCUUUAUUUCUGCAUUUAUUACACUUUCAAUAAUAACAUUGUUUAAUAAAAAUAUUUUGUUAAAAAGCUGUUUUUGAACAUGGAUACUUGUUAGCUAAUAUUAUAAAAGGGUCAGUGAAUUAACAUUUAGUGGAGUCAGAUCAGUGCCAUUUUACGGUAGUUUUCUGGUUAGAAAUACAAUAUACAUGGAUACAGAUGCAUGUAUUAAGCUCAUAUGACAGGAAAAUAUGAUCAGAUAUGAUAAUAGAAUAGUAAUGUUUGUUAUAGGAAAUAAUUCAUCUAAAGACACCAGUUAGCAUCUACAGCUACAUUUUAUCCUUCAAACCUGCUUGAAAUUAUUCAUUUAACAUUGCCAUGAGUACAUUUUCCACCUGAUACCAGGCAGAGAAAACAAACUGAAUGAGAUCUUCCACAGUUUUGAUUGAGGCUUUGUUGAAGGACGUUGAUGUGAAGGUAAGAAGAAGCAGAACAUGUAAUCUCUUCCACGCUGUGUAAGAGGAUGAGAUUUAGCAUCCCCAUGCUAGCAUAAACAAAAAAAAACAGACAUAUCAAUUCAUUACAUGCACAUUUAAACUGAUUUAGAUUUUUAUUGAUUAGUAGCUCACCGUACAUGAGCUCAGGUUUUUUAUUCAUCACUAAGUAUCUUUAAAUGAAGGCUAUUCGUAAUACAGAUCUUCCCUCCUAGAUCUACAAUUUGUGAUAAAUGUGUCUCUGCUCCUUCCAAAAGUAAGCUUUGGAUAAAAUACGGAUUAAUAACGUAAUCACUAAACAUAAUCAGUAAAUAUUUACCGAAAAUGACGAAUAAAAUUGUAAUGUCCGCGUUGCCUCCCGCCAGAAUCCGCUGAACCCAACGAAGAACGCUGUGCUGUAUUGAACUAUUCAGAGCUCCAUGAACCACGUGACCUCCUGUCGGCGAUUUCAAAGAGUGUCGCCACUCUCAUUACAGCACUCUGGAGCGACCAGC